Molecule: ribosomal RNA, 329 nt
Filed under: uncultured eukaryote
Lineage: Eukaryota
Description: partial 18S ribosomal RNA
Rfam family: Eukaryotic small subunit ribosomal RNA
Source: RNAcentral
CCCUUAGAUGUCCUGGGCCGCACGCGCGCUACACUGAGUGUCUGAGAUACGAGUCUGCCUGGUCCGGCAAGGUCUAGGUAAUCGCUAAAAGACACAUCAUGCUUGGGAUAGAUUAUUGCAAAUAUUAAUCUUGAACGAGGAAUUCCUAGUAAGCGCAAGUCAACAGCUUGCGUUGAUUACGUCCCUGCCCUUUGUACACACCGCCCGUCGCUACUACUGAUUGGAUGUUUAAGCGAGGUUCUCGAACUGCUAUCGACUUAGCUUCGGUGAGGUCGCAGUGUGGGAAGUGAACCUAGCUUUGGUGUCUAGAGGAAGUAAAAGUCGUAACA